This 422-nucleotide ribosomal RNA is filed under the name uncultured bacterium. RNAcentral's name for it is "partial 16S ribosomal RNA". It matches the Rfam family "Bacterial small subunit ribosomal RNA", at positions 360 to 774 of the family's 1533-position model. The record is from RNAcentral.
AAUUUUGGACAAUGGGCGAAAGGCUGAUCCAGCCAUGCCGCGUGUGUGAAGAAGGUCGUCGGACUGUAAACCACUUUAUGAUGGGAGGAUGGGCAGUAAGAUAAUACCUUGCUGUCUUGACGCUACCGACAGAAUACGCACCUGUUAACUUCGUGCCAGCAGCCGCGGUAAUACGAAGGGUACAAACGUCAACCGGGAUUACUGGGCGUAAAGCGCGCGUAGGUGGUUUGUUAAGAUGGAAGUGAAAGCCCCGGGCUCAACCUGGGAACUGCUUUCAAAACUGGCAAUCUAGAGUAUGGCAGAGAGUGGUGGAAUUUCCUGUGUAGCUGUGAAAUGCGUAGAUAUAGGAAGGAACACCAGUGGCGAAGGCGACCACCUGGGCUAAUACUGGCACUGAGGUGCGAAAGCGUGGGGAGCAAACA